CAGUUCAAGAGGUUUGCACAGUAUGAUUAUUCUUAUUAGGGCUGAUCAAAAGCCAAGCGCAGUUUUGUGAGAUAUUUAACAUCAUCAUGCAUGCAAGUUGUUCUAAAUGCAAUUGAAAAUAUUGUUAUAUUACUUGUGAAAAGACAUUACAAAAUGUGUGGUACUGAUGUGUCAAUAACAGUAAAGCACAUGUAGUAUUUUAACUGUUUCUUUUGAUACUCAAAGCAGGAGGAGAUCUCAUGUUCACUAACCCGAGUCAUGAAGGUAUUACAGUAAAAAUGUGAAGAGAAUAUUCAGCAAAAUCACUGUUAGCAAAGUACCUAAAUAUUUUGAAGAGUGUCAAUUUUUAAGGACUUCUACCAUUCUAGAGAAAGGGAAAAUCAUAGGUCCUGACACCCUCCUCCUCCAUUUGUUUCUUUUUGGUUAAUCACUUUGGGUUUCUUUACAGAUCACGUCCAGACAGAGAAGAGUUAAUGUGGACCUUUUAAAGGGCAGUGUGGAGAUCUGUAUUGAGCUGAAAUUUUUCUUGGAGCCUCCAGCAUAUGGAUGUGUUUUCACCAGCUAUCUCUGACAAGUGAGAGAACGCCCCUAAGCUAUGAAUUUUGCUUAAGGUUAUGAAAAUGCCGCAUUUCUUCUGGCCUCAGAGCAGAACUUUGCAGAACUCCAUGAUAACUGCAGCAAGAUUCCAGAUCAGGUAUGACAAGGAAGCAUUUGCUGACCAUCUACUGGGGGAACCUUGGAGAAGAGCUUGCUCAGGGAAAGCAUACACUAUGAAUUUGCAGCAUCUAUGCUAGUUGGAAGGAACCACUCAUUCCUGGAGAACAAGGCAGGAUCAGCCUCCAGAGAACUGCUGCACUGUAAUCAGAGAUUUUCCUGGAAAAGUACCAACUGCAGAAACACAACUUGUCAAUGAAAUCCCUGACCAAACCUCACCACAAGCAUUAAUUAUACUAAUUAGAACUGCUGCCAGUGGAGAAUAAACAUCACAUGCAACUUAUCUCAAAGCAUCAGAUUAUGUGUAUUCAUCAUGAUUUCAAAGCAAGAAAGACCCGCUGAAGUCAACUGAGGCCUAUAUAUUGGUUCUGUUCAUCUUGCAGGUAUGAAAAUUUCCCAUCAGAAUCCUGUACCAAAGGAGAAGGUAAACAAAGACUCUGCAGAAAAAGGAACAACUUGGAGACAUCACGUGACAUGAAACCUACAUUUCUGUGCAAGAAUUUUAUGUUCCAUUUCUUAAAUGUGUGUCUUUUACUUUACCUAAGUGCUUUUAAAAUAAUAAUAGUUACUUAAUAAUAAUAAGUGAUUUUCAUACUUAGAGCAUAGAGCCAUAAAGUCACUUUCCAUC
Molecule: long non-coding RNA, 1342 nt
Organism: Lagopus leucura (white-tailed ptarmigan)
Lineage: Eukaryota; Metazoa; Chordata; Aves; Galliformes; Phasianidae
Exons: 5
Source: RefSeq, a predicted model, not a curated record